UCAAGCAAAGCAACUACGUGUUAAAGCAACGCACUGGUACAGGGGAAAAAAACUAAGUCAUUUUCUAGCUGGUAUGCAAACUUCCAUUGCAAAACACUACGUUGGAAAACCAGAAGGGAUUGUCAUCGAAAUGUAUUUCCACAUAGUUGUGUGUACACAAAAUACUAUAUUUGAAAAUAAAACUGACAAUAUUAUGGAUCAUAUUAAUGUUGUAAGCGGUUCCUCAUUGAUAUGCAUAUUAAUGAGGCAACAACUUGCAAAACCCCAGUCACAGUCAUGCAUGACAUUGAACAGCGUCAACCAUUUAACAUAUGAGUUCAUCGCUGCUUGUUUUUGUUGUCAGCCCUUGUCGUUGCCUGACCUUUGAGCGAACCUUGCUCCAUCUAUAUUAGUAAAAAGAUCAACCACCACAGGCUAUAAACCCAGCACUUGAAAAGUACAGAAGUGGUCUACGGGCAUUGACAGAUUUAAGAUCUUAAAUCGUCACUCAACCCACAUGAGUCGGUCUAAUGCAGAGCAGGCUGCUUUACCGUUGCUGUUGUUACAAAAGAGAGCCUGGAAAGUAGAGAUGAAGCUGGGUGAAGUGGGACGGCUGAUGAUCACAGAUGAUACACAGCUGCCUUCUUCUUCGACUGCACACCUCCGCGCCUCCAGACAGGGAUGGAGGCAAGAAGCCAGCUCCAAGGUGGCCAUGGAGAGGAGCGGACGGACAAAGGAUGGGCAGAAGAAAGAGAGAGAUGGUAGAAGCUGCCACUGGGAAAGAAUGGCAAUAGAAAAGCUUUGACUGCAUGUACCAUUAUAAAAGCCACAUUUACUUUGCUUUAAAAUAAACCUUUCAUUUCUAACAGCUCAACAUUCCAUUGAACAACCGUCGUAGCUUUCGUGUCCAAAAACCCAUUUCAAAAGAGCUUUUCCCAAAGUGUGGAAGAUGAAGACGUGCCCAGAGCUUUUCUAGAGGGCUUUAAUAUAAGUUUGCUGCUAUCCAUUUUUUUUUUUAAAAACACACUAAAUGGAAGCCCACGCAGGCCACUUUUCCUCCUUUCUUUAUCCAUACAUUGCCGUGAGUCAUUUCUCAACGAUCCAUUAACUGCACCAGCACGAGGCCUGGAGGAUGAGAGAAAAAGGUUGUUGCUCUCUUAAAAGGAUUUUCACAUAGAUGGAAAGACAUUAAGGGACAUAACAAUAAAUGGGUCAUAGGAUAAACAAAAAGAAAAAAAUGCGAGUAUUAAAAAAAAGUAGAAAUACGUAGUACACGAUAGUGUGUGAACUAAGACCUACUUUUGUCAUGGCUUCCAUUUCUUCUUCAAGGGCCAUUUUUUCUCAACAGUCAUCCAUUUACUUUUAUACAUUUAGGAUGUUUGUGAAAUGCCAUGUGACGGCAUGCUUGAUAACAAGAAGCUGUUUACCCACGCACGUCAGUUUUUGCAUGUCGGCUAAUUCAUCACCCGUCAUACAGGUUUCCAGAUAAGAGCAGCCUCCCCUGCAUUGAGCUAUUAUAAUGCUAAUGUGGCUAGACUGUGAUUCGAGGACUAUAAAAAUGUCAGAUGUAGUGAUAUUCAAGCUUGAGUUUGAAAGCUGUCGAUGGUGGAUAAAUGAGUUUGUGCCAAGCCAUGUCUCAUUUAUAUGCUAACAAUCAGAAGACUUUCCCCUAUAGGGCAGUGUGCACCUGUCUCUGUGCAAGAAGCUAAACUAAAGAAACUAAAGAUGGGCUGUGCAAGUCAUUUGGUGCAAAAUACUCAUCAGUAACAUUUACCUACCAUAACUUAAUUGGCAAUUUUUAGUGCGACUAACACAGCGGUGUCCAAGUUGUUUUCAUUGCAGGCCACGUUGUUUGCUUUGCCCUCAGGCAGCCAACGAAAUCUCACGCAGUAAAUGAAUUUUGGCUAAGGGUGUAACUGGACCCCAGAAAUCACAGUUUGUUACGUAUGUUUGUUUUUAGUUCACGGUUUGGUUCACAUGUGGUACAAUGAGGCAGCAAAAUGCUCAAUAAAGAGUUUGUGUAGACAGUCACACAUUUAAUAUCAUUUAAUUUGAUUUUGCUCGGAAGAGGUGGGUUUCGGCACAAUAGGAUUGCGUAGCCGCAUUUGAUACACAUUCUUCUCGUUAACUCAUUUGAUUGUCCCCCCCCAAAAAAAUAUGAUGGAAACACGUUUGCUGUCCUCAUAUUUCUCUCACAGCUUUGGCUAGGAAGAAAUCACACCUAUCCGAGAAGCUUGUUAACGAGAAAGAUUACACGCUUUGGAUGAGUGAGCGGGAGAACAAGGCUACGGGGGCCAGUUAGCAACUCGCUGAUGCGGGACCACAUGGGGAGAGAGCAGAACAUGUUGGAGAUGAAUAUUUCCCCAUGACACAGCAUAACCGGCUGCCUCCCAAGCAUCUGCAAUGAAGACAUAAGGAAUUGAUCGAUCUAUAAUCAACGAGAACCGCAAGUAAGAGAGCAAGAGUAAUGGAGAGAUUAGAAAAAAGCAAACGCUUGCUGCAGCUGAAGAGCUGUGAGGCAGAGUGAUCCAUGGUGUUUUCACAGGCUAUUUCCCUGAGGCAUUGUAUUUGCACAGCCAGAGAUGCUGCAAUGACAGAGAAGACCAUUUGUAUGUAUACCUGACCACAUUUGUGACAUAAGCUGUAAACAUUCUAGAAAUAAGCGACAGUGUGAGGCAAUAAACUCUAA
This is a long non-coding RNA of Syngnathus acus (greater pipefish), 2668 nucleotides long. RefSeq lists it as uncharacterized. The record is from RefSeq and is a predicted model, not a curated record. NCBI's taxonomy places the organism in Eukaryota, Metazoa, Chordata, Actinopteri, Syngnathiformes, Syngnathidae. The transcript is spliced from 5 exons.